This is a long non-coding RNA of Astyanax mexicanus (Mexican tetra), 268 nucleotides long. RefSeq lists it as uncharacterized. The record is from RefSeq and is a predicted model, not a curated record. The transcript has 3 exons. Lineage: Eukaryota; Metazoa; Chordata; Actinopteri; Characiformes; Acestrorhamphidae.
CAAAAAACAGACACAAACAUAUUUUUGCUGAGCCUUUAAGCUAAACUUAAAAUCAAAUGAGAAGUAUUUAGGCUAGAGUCCAGGAAAAAAAAAUCCCAAGUCUUUAGGCUAGAGUCCAAGAAAAGUCCCAAGCCUUUAGGCUAGAGUCCAAGAAAAGUCCCAAGCCUUUAGGCUAGAGUCCAAGAAAAAAAAGUCCCAAGCCUUUAGGCUAGAGUCCAAGAAAAGUCCCAAGUCUUUAGGCUAGAGUCCAAGAAAAGUCCCAAGUCUU